Molecule: ribosomal RNA, 427 nt
Filed under: uncultured bacterium
Lineage: Bacteria
Description: partial 16S ribosomal RNA
Rfam family: Bacterial small subunit ribosomal RNA
Source: RNAcentral
UGGGGAAUAUUGCACAAUGGGCGCAAGCCUGAUGUAGCCAUGCCGCGUGUAUGAAGAAGGCCUUCGGGUUGUAAAGUACUUUCAGCGGGGAGGAAGGCGAUAAGGUUAAUAACCUUGUCGAUUGACGUUACCCGCAGAAGAAGCACCGGCUAACUCCGUGCCAGCAGCCGCGGUAAUACGGAGGGUGCAAGCGUUAAUCGGAAUUACUGGGCGUAAAGCGCACGCAGGCGGUCGGUCAAGUCGGAUGUGAAAUCCCCGGGCUCAACCUGGGAACUGCAUUCGAAACUGGCAGGCUAGAGUCUUGUAGAGGGGGGUAGAAUUCCAGGUGUAGCGGUGAAAUGCGUAGAGAUCUGGAGGAAUACCGGUGGCGAAGGCGGCCCCCUGGACAAAGACUGACGCUCAGGUGCGAAAGCGUGGGGAGCAAACA